This 253-nucleotide ribosomal RNA is filed under the name uncultured bacterium. RNAcentral describes it as "partial 16S ribosomal RNA". It matches the Rfam family "Bacterial small subunit ribosomal RNA", at positions 524 to 776 of the family's 1533-position model. The record is from RNAcentral.
UACGUAGGGUGCGAGCGUUAAUCGGAAUUACUGGGCGUAAAGCGUGCGCAGGCGGUUUCUCAAGUCAGAUGUGAAAGCCCCGGGCUCAACCUGGGAAUUGCAUUUGAAACUACGAGGCUAGAGUGUGUCAGAGGGGGGUAGAAUUCCACGUGUAGCAGUGAAAUGCGUAGAGAUGUGGAGGAAUACCGAUGGCGAAGGCAGCCCCCUGGGAUAAAACUGACGCUCAUGCACGAAAGCGUGGGGAGCAAACAGG